RNAcentral lists this non-coding RNA (191 nucleotides) under Maledivibacter halophilus. The record is from RNAcentral. Lineage: Bacteria; Bacillati; Bacillota; Clostridia; Peptostreptococcales; Caminicellaceae.
UAUAUAGUAUACUAUUUCGGUUCUUUGUAUAUAAAUUACAAAGAUUAAAGGGAAUCUGGUGAAAAUCCAGAGCGGUCCGGCCACUGUAAGUGGGAAGUAAUCCUUGUAUAUGCCACUGGAUGAAUUUCUGGGAAGGCAAAGGAAAACGAUGAUCCAUAAGUCAGGAUACCUGCCAAAAUAGCAUUACAUUA